AUACGUAGGGGGCGAAGCGUUAUCCGGAUUUACUGGGUGUAAAGGGAGCGUAGGCGGCCAUGCAAGUCAGAAGUGAAAGCCCGGGGCUCAACCCCGGGACUGCUUUUGAAACUGUAAGGCUAGAUUGCCGGAGAGGUAAGCGGAAUUCCUAGUGUAGCGGUGAAAUGCGUAGAUAUUAGGAGGAACACCAGUGGCGAAGGCGGCUUACUGGACGGUCAAUGACGCUGAGGCUCGAAAGCGUGGGGAGC
Molecule: ribosomal RNA, 248 nt
Filed under: uncultured bacterium
Lineage: Bacteria
Description: partial 16S ribosomal RNA
Rfam family: Bacterial small subunit ribosomal RNA
Source: RNAcentral